UACGUAGGGCGCAAGCGUUGUCCGGAAUUAUUGGGCGUAAAGAGCUCGUAGGUGGUUUGUUACGUCUGCUGUGAAAACCUAGGGCUUAACCCUGGGCCUGCAGUGGAUACGGGCAGACUAGAGGUAGGUAGGGGAGAAUGGAAUUCCUGGUGUAGCGGUGGAAUGCGCAGAUAUCAGGAGGAACACCAAUGGCGAAGGCAGAUCUCUGGGCCGUAACUGACGCUGAGGAGCGAAAGCAUGGGGAGCGAACAGG
Molecule: ribosomal RNA, 253 nt
Filed under: uncultured bacterium
Lineage: Bacteria
Description: partial 16S ribosomal RNA
Rfam family: Bacterial small subunit ribosomal RNA
Source: RNAcentral